Podarcis lilfordi (Lilford's wall lizard) is the source of this 74-nucleotide non-coding RNA. The record is from the annotation of a GenBank genome assembly. NCBI's taxonomy places the organism in Eukaryota, Metazoa, Chordata, Lepidosauria, Squamata, Lacertidae.
ACUUGAGAUAGCUCAGUCUCUAGAGCAUGAGACCAUUCAUCUCUGGGCCAUGGGUUCGAGCCCCAUGUUGGGCA